Molecule: ribosomal RNA, 440 nt
Filed under: uncultured bacterium
Lineage: Bacteria
Description: partial 16S ribosomal RNA
Rfam family: Bacterial small subunit ribosomal RNA
Source: RNAcentral
CCUACGUGAGGCUGCAGUGGGGGAUAUUGCACAAUGGGGGAAACCCUGAUGCAGCGACGCCGCGUGUGGGAAGACGGUCCUCUGGAUUGUAAACCACUGUCCCCAGGGACGAAGAUGACGGUACCUGGGGAGGAAGCUCCGGCUAACUACGUGCCAGCAGCCGCGGUAAUACGUAGGGAGCGAGCGUUGUCCGGAAUUACUGGGUGUAAAGGGAGCGUAGGCGGGACUGCAAGUUGGGUGUCAAAUCUACCGGCUCAACCGGUAGCCGCACUCAAAACUGCAGUUCUUGAGUGAAGUAGAGGCAGGCGGAAUUCCUAGUGUAGCGGUGAAAUGCGUAGAUAUUAGGAGGAACACCAGUGGCGAAGGCGGCCUGCUGGGCUUUUACUGACGCUGAGGCUCGAAAGUGUGGGGAGCAAACAGGAUUAGAUACCCCGGUAGUC